AGAGUUUGAUCCUGGCUCAGAUUGAACGCUGGCGGCAUGCCUUACACAUGCAAGUCGAACGGCAGCACGAGAGCUUGCUCUUGGUGGCGAGUGGCGAACGGGUGAGUAAUAUAUCGGAACGUACCCUAGAGUGGGGGAUAACGUAGCGAAAGUUACGCUAAUACCGCAUACGAUCUACGGAUGAAAGUGGGGGAUCGCAAGACCUCAUGCUCAUGGAGCGGCCGAUAUCUGAUUAGCUAGUUGGUGGGAUAAAAGCUCACCAAGGCGACGAUCAGUAGCUGGUCUGAGAGGACGACCAGCCACACUGGAACUGAGACACGGUCCAGACUCCUACGGGAGGCAGCAGUGGGGAAUUUUGGACAAUGGGCGCAAGCCUGAUCCAGCAAUGCCGCGUGAGUGAAGAAGGCCUUCGGGUUGUAAAGCUCUUUUGUCGGGGAAGAAACGGUGGACUCUAAUACAGAUCACUAAUGACGGUACCUGAAGAAUAAGCACCGGCUAACUACGUGCCAGCAGCCGCGGUAAUACGUAGGGUGCAAGCGUUAAUCGGAAUUACUGGGCGUAAAGCGUGCGCAGGCGGUUGUGCAAGACAGAUGUGAAAUCCCCGGGCUCAACCUGGGAAUUGCAUUUGUGACUGCACGGCUAGAGUGUGUCAGAGGGGGGUAGAAUUCCACGUGUAGCAGUGAAAUGCGUAGAGAUGUGGAGGAAUACCGAUGGCGAAGGCAGCCCCCUGGGAUAACACUGACGCUCAUGCACGAAAGCGUGGGGAGCAAACAGGAUUAGAUACCCUGGUAGUCCACGCCCUAAACGAUGUCUACUAGUUGUCGGGUCUUAAUUGACUUGGUAACGCAGCUAACGCGUGAAGUAGACCGCCUGGGGAGUACGGUCGCAAGAUUAAAACUCAAAGGAAUUGACGGGGACCCGCACAAGCGGUGGAUGAUGUGGAUUAAUUCGAUGCAACGCGAAAAACCUUACCUACCCUUGACAUGUCUGGAAUCCUUGAGAGAUCAGGGAGUGCUCGAAAGAGAAUCAGAACACAGGUGCUGCAUGGCUGUCGUCAGCUCGUGUCGUGAGAUGUUGGGUUAAGUCCCGCAACGAGCGCAACCCUUGUCAUUAGUUGCUACGAAAGGGCACUCUAAUGAGACUGCCGGUGACAAACCGGAGGAAGGUGGGGAUGACGUCAAGUCCUCAUGGCCCUUAUGGGUAGGGCUUCACACGUCAUACAAUGGUACAUACAGAGGGCCGCCAACCCGCGAGGGGGAGCUAAUCCCAGAAAGUGUAUCGUAGUCCGGAUUGUAGUCUGCAACUCGACUACAUGAAGUUGGAAUCGCUAGUAAUCACGGAUCAGCAUGUCGCGGUGAAUACGUUCCCGGGUCUUGUACACACCGCCCGUCACACCAUGGGAGCGGGUUUCACCAGAAGUGGGUAGCCUAACCGCAAGGAGGGCGCUCACCACGGUGGGAUUCGUGACUGGGGUGAAGUCGUAACAAGGUA
Molecule: ribosomal RNA, 1491 nt
Filed under: metagenome
Description: bacterial SSU rRNA
Rfam family: Bacterial small subunit ribosomal RNA
Source: RNAcentral